This 85-nucleotide non-coding RNA is filed under the name Acinetobacter sp. yr461. Lineage: Bacteria; Pseudomonadati; Pseudomonadota; Gammaproteobacteria; Moraxellales; Moraxellaceae. The record is from RNAcentral.
CGUAGCGGUAGGACGGGAGAGGGACACCUUCGGGUGUGCUGGUUGUUGUACCAGUCCGCGAACCCUUUCUCGUUCUGCCACCAUA